AUGAGCCAGACAUUUUCUUCCAGUGGCGUAAAAGACUUUUCCUUCCAACGCUGUCACUUUUUCCACAGCGCUGGACGCCGAGCUGGGCGAGCUGCUGCAGGAGUUCCAGGAUGUGGUGGAGGAGCUGAAGGCCCCGUCUCAGAGCAAACCUCACGCCUACCAGCACGUGCUGCAGGAAGCCAAGAGCCGCACGGGGCUGGGAGACGACAGCGGAGUGGAGGACUCGGAUUACAGCAGCGAGGCCUCUCUGGGAAACAGCUUGAACACCAGCGAGGAAGAGCUUCACACAGCAGGCGUAAAGCUGGCACCGAAAGCCAAGCUGGGAGACACGAGGGAACUGGAUAGUUUCAUCGACGCGUUGGACCGGGAGCUUGCUGAGAUGUGA
This is a long non-coding RNA of Betta splendens (Siamese fighting fish), 385 nucleotides long. Lineage: Eukaryota; Metazoa; Chordata; Actinopteri; Anabantiformes; Osphronemidae. The record is from Ensembl.